Molecule: non-coding RNA, 70 nt
Organism: Dipodomys ordii (Ord's kangaroo rat)
Lineage: Eukaryota; Metazoa; Chordata; Mammalia; Rodentia; Heteromyidae
Source: Rfam
GGGAAUAUAGCUUAAUAGUAGAGUGCUUGCCUAGCAUGCAUGAAGCCCUGGGUUUGAUUCCUCAGUACCA